GGGAAACACUGAGUGGCAUCUCACAGAAAGCCAGAGGGGAGGACGUGGGGCUAUCAGUCCAACUCCUCAGUUAAUAGCCAGGGAAACAGAAGCCCAGGGAGAUAAAGACGGUGGCAGAGGAGGAAUUCUUUCUUAGCAGAUCUUCCAUUCCUAAUCCAGGAUCAUUUCCAGGGCUCCCAGGUUCUCAAGAUGCUUGAAUCCUGGGACAAACACAGAGGAAGGAGCUCCUAAGGAUGGGGGCAGUGGUGAGGAAACAGGCCACUGAGACAGUGAUGGUGUUUGUAGGCAAAGAAGCUACUUGUAUUUGCCAACCACACCAGGAGGCCAGACUCGCCGCAGGGCACAGCACCCUCCAGAAAAACAGGUCACUGAAAAUAAUAUCAGGGGAGGAAGUCAAGAAGGCUGCUGUAUUCAUUCUGCUUUAAUGAGUAGAGAACUCUUACCAAAACAGGAAUAGAAGACAUAGGGUGCAACCAUUUCUCCAGGCUGAAACAGAGCCCCUGAGGAAGGAGCAAAUCUGAAGUUCCCCUGCACCCAGGGCUUUGAUUCAGAUAUUGUUGGAGAGAGCAUUGCAUGGCUCAUGACUCACUAGGUGGUGGAUAAGCUCAUUGAGGAGAAAUCUUUUGCCACAUUUGGAGAAAGGAUUGAAGAGAAAUGAGAGCCUGGAUGUGAAGAAAACAUUAGGAAGCUGCAGCAGUAACCUAUGUGAGAAAUUAAGAGAACCUAAAUCAGAUCCGUUGGCCAUCAAGAUUUCACUCAUUUUGAGACCUAGAGAUUGGUGCUCCUGGAGCUGUGAAAUGCGUGGCCUCUGUAGCCCUGUGAAGGUCUUGUUUCUAUGGCGAUACAAGAGAAAGUCUUUGCAGAGUUGUUGCAGCUGGAAGUCUUCACUUACUUUAAGAGCUCAUUAAAGCUAGUGGAGCCUUCCAAACCUGAAAUGAACUGCUCCUUACAGAACUGCCAAAAGGAAGAAAUAGAAAAGAAAAAAGAAGCAAUAGGUCCAAAAAGUCAAGAGAAGCUAUGCUGUACCCUCAACACUCUGCCUAGAGAUUUCUUCCAUGAAAUAUCCUAGUUCACAUCUGCCUCCUGCAAACUACUAGGACAUGGACACUGCUCAGCCAAGUUCUGUGCCAAUUUGUAACAAGAAUGGCCUUUCCUCCUAUUUCCAAUAAGGCCCCAUCAGCAGAGGGAGGAGAAGAGGAGAAGCAGCUGGACAUCAGAGACUAUGGUUGGACAUUGGAGAGAAGCAGCUUGACUUCAAAGGGACGGCUUG
Molecule: long non-coding RNA, 1270 nt
Organism: Homo sapiens (human)
Lineage: Eukaryota; Metazoa; Chordata; Mammalia; Primates; Hominidae
Exons: 9
Source: RefSeq, a predicted model, not a curated record